This 2234-nucleotide non-coding RNA is filed under the name Pongo abelii (Sumatran orangutan). Lineage: Eukaryota; Metazoa; Chordata; Mammalia; Primates; Hominidae. The record is from RNAcentral.
CUAGGAAGUCCCCAAGAGCAUAGGAGCCCAGGGACCUCGCAGGAGGAAGCAGCAGUAUCUGUGUUCCAAAUCCUGCCCAGCCCCCAGGCAGCCAUAGCUCCUGCCCCCAACAGGAUUCCUCACAUCCCAGGACCAGCUGGAAAACGCGGUGAGAGUUGGAAAGAGACUGCUCAGUGAGGACUGCCCUGUGAACCAGCUUGGAUUCAUGGCAUUCACCUCCACGUUCUGCACGCAGGGCCAAGGGAAGGGAGGCAGCCCAGGCAGCUACAGAACUUGAUGAAACACACUCAAUCUGAAUCUCGCUUGAUCGUCAUGCUGACCCAGUGAGUCUACUCAGGGUCAGGCACCCUUCCCGACUACUCACUCAGCAGCGGAUCUCCACCCGCCUCUGACUCCCAGUGUCUUUCGGCUCCAACGUAAGUUCACCGAACGUCUAAGAGCUGAGGAUUCAAAGGCAUGUACGACCGCCCGUGCCCUCAGCUGCAAGACCUGUCCGCGAUCCUAUGAGCCCCAUUCCGCCCUCUUUCCCCGACCUUGGUCCCCCAUGGGCCCUACAACCAGGUCCCCGACUGACACCUUGACCAGCGAACACAGCAAACAGGCCCUUAGAUGCCGCAGGUCCUUCGGCACCGUCUCCAGGGCCAUCUUCGCCGAUAGGAAGAGCAACAGGGAGAUAGACGACAACAGCCUGUGCACCCGCAGGAAGUAAAUAGCUCGUUACCCAGAAUCCCCGCCACUUCUGGCGCUUAGACUUCCUCUUCCGGUGUGGGCGGGCGCCGGCUCCGCCCCUACCCCCGCCAGAGGAGAUGGUUUCUCCCACCGGCAGGCGGGGAGGCGGGGCGGCCGGCCGCCACCUGGGCCGGGGCGCGUCCCAGCCACCUGAGCCCGCCGAGGGCGCGGCGGAGGCUGUGUAGGGUAGUCAGCGGGCCCCCGGCGGGGGGGACGGAGGGGGCGGCUGCGCUUGCGCGGGAGUGUGUCGGGCUGAGCCGCAGCGCCGAGACGCGGGCCGUUUGAUCUGGGCUGCUGGCCCUGGGCGCCGGUCCUGUUCCCCGAUGGUAACCCGAAGUUUUUUUGUUUUGUUUUGUCUUCCCGUUGUAGAAGCACUGGGGGCAGUGAAUCCACUGUCUCCCUCUGGAUUAUGUCUGGAGAGACCCAGAACGAAUCCAGGGACAGCCCCACCCCUCCUUCCUAACUGCGAGAGCGCUAUAGGGUUUCCACUUGCUUCCCACAGGAAUGCUGGCCUGGGAGCUACGGCGGAAAAAAUGCGUAUUUAUCUUUUAAAACUCCGUCUGUUUGCUCGUUCCGGCUCAUAAUUUAUACUUUGGGCAGUUCUUAGCACUUAGACACGGUUCCUUUACUAAAGAACAUUUGUAGAAGAUUAGGUGUCCUUUUUUCCGCUUUCAUUUCGCCGUCUAGGAAGCGAAAUGCCUUGUUCUAUAGGCACCAAACCACCACCCCUACCAAACCUUUCUCGGGGAAGCAGAAGGGGAACUUGUGCCUUGUGAGGAAGCGACAAAGGCCCUUUCUGGCCCUGGAGACUUCAUGCCAAUGGAGCACCAGCUGUCUGUCCUCGCAAUAGCCCGAGUGCAGGCAGAACGCGGUCAUUUGUGUUUAUCUGAGAGGAGCUUUGGGAUAUAAAUAGUUUCAGGCCCCGCUGCUCUAUCAUUCCAGCCCAGCCUCCUGAUUGAGCUGCUUCUGGGCGGGCUUGCUUCUUGUUGACGGUCCCAUGCUGUGUUCAGAUGGGCUCUGUGACAGGUUUGGAUGUUUUCUAUCACUGAAUAAAACUUUCCACUUUGGAACAUAUUUUCUACACUCUAUUAUCUCAUGUAAGUCCUGCAACAACUAUGAAGUAGGCCCAUUUUAUGGACUGAAAAAGCGAGGCACAGAGUAUUUGCGCAAGGUCAAAGUCACUGAAGUAUGAUAAUGUGUGAAGUGAACAGUAUAAUAAUAUGACUGAAGCACAGUAAGAAUCCAGUCAUGCUUUCUCCUUCCCUGAGCUCACUAAGCCACACUUUUAGGGGCUUACAAACCAGUUCUUAUUGCCAAGCCCUCUACUCUACCCUAUCCUUUCAUAAAUCGGAGCCUAGCCUCUGAUAACAGAAAUAAUUUAUUUCUUUUGAUGUAGAAAGAGAUGAAGUUGUUACCCUGAGUGACAGUCACGACAGAACAAAACCACAAGACCAGACCACAUUUGUGGAUAAAUAUAUUAGCAAAUAAAUAUAUUUCUUAACAUA